GCCGCUGGCGAUGCUCGAUGCAUUGAAGCAUUCAGGCAGGGGGCGUGUGACAUGAUUACAGCCCGGAUGCCACCGGCGCAAAGCUGCUCCCCUGACCGACUCUUACAAUGAUCAGCGCGUCCCGAAUCGACAUGCAGAUUAUUUGACAACCUUUCCACGAGUACAAGGAGAAACAGACACUGCUCUUCAGGGGAUGACAAAUUACCAGACUGGUUUAAGGCCAAGAAAAUGAAGUCAACCUUUAUCCACAGUAAGCCACGCUGUGACAUUUGAUAUCUGCAGCUGACUGCUGUCUACCUUUCUUCGUUACAUCUCAAAGGGAAUGUGAGUACGUAAUCAGGAGGCCCAACUCUCAUCAAUCUUCCGAUGCUCAGAAUGGCAGGCUCUAUUUCUCACUGACUGGGCCAUAAGGUUAACGCCCUUGGAGACCACUGGAAUAUAAAAACAACAGAUUAGAAAAAGGUCAUUUCACAUCGGGGGCAUCCAGUUCUUGGCCAGGCUGAUGGGAAAGUGUCAUUUCUUGUUUAAAGGUGGAGCGUGAAUUGUGCUUGGGAAAUUAACAAUGGUUGUUUAGAAUCAAGGGUGGCUUUCACCAGCAGCAGCUCGUACACAGAAAAACACUAGAUGGGUCAUAAACAUCAUGGAAUUCCAAAUACUCAGUCAGACAUUGCACGUAAUGACAUUUUAAUGGCACCCGACAUUUUAACUAUAACAGAAUUAAAACACGAUGCCUCUUAUCAAUGUUGCUACAUUCACUUUGAUGGCAAGGCCUGGUUAACACAACCCUUGAGAGUCAGGUAGCUUUAAUGAACAAUAUUCCACUCUAGGUUGGCAUAACAUCAUUUGGUUCAGAGGCCAACCAGUUGGCAGGGAGUUCCAGAGGAUAGAGA
Long non-coding RNA from Amblyraja radiata (thorny skate), 890 nucleotides. RefSeq lists it as uncharacterized. Lineage: Eukaryota; Metazoa; Chordata; Chondrichthyes; Rajiformes; Rajidae. The transcript has 4 exons. The record is from RefSeq and is a predicted model, not a curated record.